AUGAGGACCAAGAUGUUGGAGGGUGACGUGCAAGCGAUCACUAGAUGUAGUUGGAACAGUCUUGAGCUUGAGAACAUUACCAUUUUAUACCCUAUUCUUAUCAAUUUUCUUCAAUGCUUCCUAUUCCUAGCAACGACUGCUUUGGAGCAGAUGAAUCAUAGCCUUGUAUUGGACAAGCCAAUUAGAGUAUUGUGGUCUAACCAAGAUCCUGAUGCCAGGAGAAGUGGCAUUGGAAAUGUGUUUGUUAAGAACUUUGGUGAGCACGUUGACAAUGUAACUCUUCAAGAACUAUUCUCCAAGUUUGGAGAGCUAUUAUCUUGUAAAGUUGUUAGAAAUGAGGAUGGCACAAGUAGAGGCUAUGGUUUUGUUCAAUUUGCAGCGCAAGAGCCGGCAGACAUCGCAAUAGAGACUCUUAACAACUCUUACUUUGAGGGCAGAGAAUUGCUUGUAGCUCAUUUCAUUAAGAAGAGCGAACGAUCAGCCAAUAAUGAUGACAAAUACACUAACUUGUAUAUGAAGAAUAUAGAUGACGACAUGACAAAAGAACUCAUUAAAUUGAAGUUUUCUCAUCAUGGUCAAGUAACUAGUGUGAAGAUAAUGAAGAGAGAUGAUGGGACAUCCAAGGGUUUUGGGUUUCUUAGUUUCAAAAACCCAGAAAGUGCCAAGAAAGCAAAAGAGGCCAUGAAUGGGAUGGCUCUUGGUGUCAUGUUUUACGGCAAACCAUUGUAUGUUGCUAUUGCUCAAAGGAAAGAGGACAGAAAAGCUAGGCUGGAGCAACCGUUUGCUGAACUUGCUAUGAUGGAAGGAACUGCAAGUCCCGUGAUCCCCACAGGUUAUCCUCAUGUGUAUUUUGCCCAUCCCAGUACACACUUUCCUCAUGGUCUGUCAAGAAACAACAGGGGACGCAUGACCGGGAAUAUGAUGACUUUUCCCCACGCCGUUAAUUAUGUGUCACAUGCUCAGACAGCUAAAGAUUUCAUGUCCAUGUCCCGGCAGCCUGAUCUGGCCAGUAAGAUCACUGGAAUGUUACUGGAGCUAGAUAAUUCUUAUCUGCUGUCGAUGCUAAAUUCGCAGGAUACCUUGUCUACAAAAGUUAACGAGUGUGUGCAAGCUCUGCAAGGGCAGCAAGCGGCAAAAAAUAAGACUGCGGAUCUAGAGUCCCUACACCCUAGCUUCCUGAACUCUACCGGUGUAAAUGCCAACUGA
This 1206-nucleotide ribosomal RNA is filed under the name Triticum aestivum (bread wheat). RNAcentral's name for it is "partial small subunit ribosomal RNA". Lineage: Eukaryota; Viridiplantae; Streptophyta; Magnoliopsida; Poales; Poaceae. The record is from RNAcentral.